Molecule: non-coding RNA, 73 nt
Organism: Trematomus bernacchii (emerald rockcod)
Lineage: Eukaryota; Metazoa; Chordata; Actinopteri; Perciformes; Nototheniidae
Source: the annotation of a RefSeq genome assembly
GGCACUGUCGCCUAGUGGUCAAAGCGCUUGUCUCGUAAACAGGAGAUCCUGGCUUCAAAUCCCAGCAGUGCCU